This 595-nucleotide ribosomal RNA is filed under the name uncultured bacterium. RNAcentral's name for it is "bacterial SSU rRNA". It matches the Rfam family "Bacterial small subunit ribosomal RNA", at positions 338 to 947 of the family's 1533-position model. The record is from RNAcentral.
CCUACGGGAGGCAGCAGUGGGGAAUCUUGCGCAAUGGGCGAAAGCCUGACGCAGCCAUGCCGCGUGAAUGAUGAAGGUCUUAGGAUUGUAAAAUUCUUUCACCGGGGACGAUAAUGACGGUACCCGGAGAAGAAGCCCCGGCUAACUUCGUGCCAGCAGCCGCGGUAAUACGAAGGGGGCUAGCGUUGCUCGGAAUUACUGGGCGUAAGGGAGCGUAGGCGGAUAGUUUAGUCAGAGGUGAAAGCCCAGGGCUCAACCUUGGAAUUGCCCUUGAUACUGGCUAUCUUGAGUACGGAAGAGGUAUGUGGAACUCCGAGUGUAGAGGUGAAAUUCGUAGAUAUUCGGAAGAACACCAGUGGCGAAGGCGACAUACUGGUCCGUUACUGACGCUGAGGCUCGAAAGCGUGGGGAGCAAACAGGAUUAGAUACCCUGGUAGUCCACGCUGUAAACGAUGAGUGCUAGUUGUCGGCAUGCAUGCAUGUCGGUGACGCAGCUAACGCAUUAAGCACUCCGCCUGGGGAGUACGGUCGCAAGAUUAAAACUCAAAAGAGUAGUACGGCGUGAGACGUGCCGAACGGACGCACGAGGGAGGAG